AUUGAACGCUGGCGGCAUGCCUUACACAUGCAAGUCGAACGGCAGCGCGGGCUUCGGCCUGGCGGCGAGUGGCGGACGGGUGAGUAAUGCAUCGGAACGUGCCCAGGAGUGGGGGAUAACGUAGCGAAAGUUACGCUAAUACCGCAUACGUACUGAGGUAGAAAGCGGGGGAACGAAAGACCCCGCGCUCAUGGAGCGGCCGGGGUCGGAUUAGGUAGUGGGCGGGGUAAAAGCCCACCAAGGGGACGAUCCGCAGCAGGUCUGAGAGGACGACCAGCAACAGGGGGACUGAGACACGGCCCAGACUCCUACGGGAGGCAGCAGCGGGGAAUCUUGGACAAUGGGGGAAACCCUGAUACAGCAAUGCCGCGUGUGGGAUGAAGGCCCUCGGGUUGGAAACCACUUUUGGCAGGAAAGAAAUCGCCUGUGCUAAUACCACGGGCGGAUGACGGUACCUGCAGAAUAAGCACCGGCUAACUACGUGCCAGCAGCCGCCGUAA
This 500-nucleotide ribosomal RNA is filed under the name uncultured bacterium. RNAcentral's name for it is "partial 16S ribosomal RNA". It matches the Rfam family "Bacterial small subunit ribosomal RNA", at positions 29 to 523 of the family's 1533-position model. The record is from RNAcentral.